UAAUUAAAUUAAAUUUGUACUAAUAAAGGGUGAAAUUAGUUUUUGGUGAGCAAAGGUAGUUUGUUUUUAAUGAGAUUGAGGUUGUUAAGAUUAAGGUAUGGACCAGGAUUAGAUACCCUGUUACACUUUAUUUUAAAGUAAUGUUACCUGGGUAGUAAGCAGUUAUUGUCUUGAAACUCAAAGGAUUUGGCGGUAACUUAGUCUAGUUAGAGGAACCUGUCCUGUAAUCGAUAGUCCACGAAGUAUCUUACUUUACCUUGUGAGAGACAGUUUGUAUACCGUCAUUAUUAGAUAACUUUAAAAAGAUUUUUAGUUGUUGAAAUAGUUUUAAACUAGUAUAUUAGAUCAAGGUGCAGCUUAUGGUAAAGAAGAGAUGGGU
This 379-nucleotide ribosomal RNA is filed under the name Metapenaeus monoceros. RNAcentral's name for it is "partial small subunit ribosomal RNA". Lineage: Eukaryota; Metazoa; Arthropoda; Malacostraca; Decapoda; Penaeidae. The record is from RNAcentral.